Molecule: non-coding RNA, 401 nt
Organism: Ictidomys tridecemlineatus (thirteen-lined ground squirrel)
Lineage: Eukaryota; Metazoa; Chordata; Mammalia; Rodentia; Sciuridae
Source: RefSeq, a predicted model, not a curated record
UUCAACAUAUAGUAAUAAAGGGAAAGUUCUCUUUCUACAACAAAAGAUAUAUUAGAUAAAUGACCAAAUUCAAGAUGAGGAAUUGGGAUUCAGUUCCUGUGUCUGUUUCAAAAUCAGUAGCACCUCAAGAUCCUGGGAUUGAGAUUUAAACCCCGACUUUAGCAACGUACCAGCUUUGUGAUAUUGGAUGGAAAGACCAGAGCUCAGAGAAAUUAAAUAUACAUUCAAAGAACAUAAUGAGUAGGACCAGCGUAUGGAUAGAUGGAAUGGACAACAAAGCCUGUUUUGUUUCUUCCUUCUACUGUUUUACAAGGAGGAAGAUCCUUUAACACUUCCUAGAUUUACCACCUGGGGAAAGUUAUCUAAUGCACCUGCCUGUAGGCUCCCUCGUCUAUAAAAUG